Non-coding RNA from Ictidomys tridecemlineatus (thirteen-lined ground squirrel), 72 nucleotides. Lineage: Eukaryota; Metazoa; Chordata; Mammalia; Rodentia; Sciuridae. The record is from Rfam.
GGGGAUAUGGCUCAGUGGUAGAGUGCUUGCCUAGCAUGCAUGAGGCCCUGGGUUUAAUUCCCAGCACCACCA